Molecule: transfer RNA, 83 nt
Filed under: ANME-2 cluster archaeon
Lineage: Archaea; Methanobacteriati; Methanobacteriota; Methanomicrobia; Methanosarcinales
Also listed under: 2 other names
Rfam family: tRNA
About the family: Transfer RNA (tRNA) molecules are approximately 80 nucleotides in length. Their secondary structure includes four short double-helical elements and three loops (D, anti-codon, and T loops). Further hydrogen bonds mediate the characteristic L-shaped molecular structure. tRNAs have two regions of fundamental functional importance: the anti-codon, which is responsible for specific mRNA codon recognition, and the 3' end, to which the tRNAs corresponding amino acid is attached (by aminoacyl-tRNA synthetases). tRNAs cope with the degeneracy of the genetic code in two manners: having more than one tRNA (with a specific anti-codon) for a particular amino acid; and 'wobble' base-pairing, i.e. permitting non-standard base-pairing at the 3rd anti-codon position.
Source: Rfam by way of RNAcentral
GCGGGGGUAGCCAAGCGGUCAACGGCGACAGACUCAAGAUCUGUUCUCGAAGGAGUUCACGGGUUCGAAUCCCUUCCCCCGCA